GACGAACGCUGGCGGCGUGCUUAACACAUGCAAGUCGAGCGGUAAGGCCCUUUCGGGGGGUACACGAGCGGCGAACGGGUGAGUAACACGUGGGUGACCUGCCCUCAGCUCUGGGGAUAAGCCUGGGAAACUGGGUCUAAUACCGGAUAUGACUCCAUGACGCAUGUUGUGGGGUGGAAAGCCUUGUGCGGCUGAGGAUGGGCCCGCGGCCUAUCAGCUUGUUGGUGGGGUGAUGGCCUACCAAGG
This 246-nucleotide ribosomal RNA is filed under the name uncultured bacterium. RNAcentral's name for it is "partial 16S ribosomal RNA". It matches the Rfam family "Bacterial small subunit ribosomal RNA", at positions 28 to 273 of the family's 1533-position model. The record is from RNAcentral.